UACAGAGGUCUCAAGCGUUGUUCGGAUUCAUUGGGCGUAAAGGGUGCGUAGGCGGCGCGGUAAGUCGGGUGUGAAAUCUCGGGGCUUAACUCCGAAACUGCAUCCGAUACUGCCGUGCUUGAGGACUGGAGAGGAGACUGGAAUUUACGGUGUAGCGGUGAAACGCGUAGAUAUCGUAAGGAAGACCAGUGGCGAAGGCGGGUCUCUGGACAGUUCCUGACGCUGAGGCACGAAGGCCAGGGGAGCAAACGGG
Molecule: ribosomal RNA, 253 nt
Filed under: uncultured bacterium
Lineage: Bacteria
Description: partial 16S ribosomal RNA
Rfam family: Bacterial small subunit ribosomal RNA
Source: RNAcentral